This 490-nucleotide long non-coding RNA is filed under the name Capsicum annuum. RNAcentral's name for it is "long non-coding RNA (CANN_LNC006358)". Lineage: Eukaryota; Viridiplantae; Streptophyta; Magnoliopsida; Solanales; Solanaceae. The record is from RNAcentral.
UGACUAACGGUACGAAUUCUCCAAGAAGUUAGUCCAGGUACGGCACUAGCUUUUUAAUAGGAAAGGGUGUCCUACUACCUUGACAUUAUCUCUUUUCCAGACAAAUAACUUUUCUCUCGAACAAGUCAGAUGUUAGACUGGCGUUGGUCUAUGCGUCUUCUUUUCUAGACAAAUAACCUUUCUCUCGAACAGGUUAGAUGUUAGAAUGGCGUGUUUCUUGUGUUUGAACCGCAAAGAAUGUAGAUUUAAGAUGAAGAGAAUAAUGAUAUAAGCAAUAUACUUGUCUUGAACUCACAAACUCAUAGCUAUAGAUAGUAACUCAUUCGGCUUCCAUAACCCCAACUAAGAGAUUUAGUUACCCAUGAAUGCGAAGGAUAUCACGUUUUGCAUGGUGGAUGGCGUGAAUAGUAGGUGUUUGGCGUGUGGUUUUAGUGAUUCCGUAGCAAGUAACGAUUCUCUUGUUGUGGAAUUUAAGAGUAGAAGAAUGAAG